This 82-nucleotide non-coding RNA is filed under the name unclassified sequences. RNAcentral describes it as "engA RNA". It matches the Rfam family "engA RNA", at positions 1 to 80 of the family's 101-position model. The record is from RNAcentral.
CCCUUGACCGUUAUGGCAAGGCGCACUCUCUAAGACAUAGAGGGCCGAAGAAUGUUAAACUUCAGUAAUCAAACAACAGAAU